CCGCCGGUGUUGUUGUGAGAAGUUCAUUAAACCUUAUCAUUUAGAGGAAGGAGAAGUCGUAACAAGGUUUCCGUAGGUGAACCUGCGGAAGGAUCAUUGAACACACGAUCUCGGAAAAAACCCUGCGAAUCGUUUUGGUAUCCCGAGGGAUCGUGCUGGGAGGCACGAUCGUCGGUCCCGGAGUCGGGGAUUCAUGCGCUCCGCCUUGAAUCCGCCUGUUGGUGCGUGCUGGGAAGAAUACGUCUCCGGAGUACCGUCGGAACACUCUCCGGCAUGCGCGGUCCCGUGUUUGCUUGCGUGGUCGGGGGGAUCCUGGAUCCUUCGGACCCUGCUUGCUGCUCUCACGAAGAUCGAUAGUGCGUUCCCCUCCUCCGAGGGGGUUGGGGGGAAGUCUUUUCGGAGACUCUCCUCUCUCCCUUCGGGGCCCCCUUUUUUCCACUAGGAACCUGGUGAAACGAGUUUUGAUGGACUGAGAUGGGCGGAGGGGGAUCCGCAUCCGUCUUGGAUGCGGAUUCCCCGAGUCCCAAGGAAAGCGAGAAAACGCAAAUGACUCUCAGCAACGGAUAUCUUGGCUCUUGCAACGAUGAAGAACGCAGCGAAAUGCGAUACCUAGUGUGAAUUGCAGAAUUCCGCGAAUCAUCGAGUUUUUGAACGCAAGUUGCGCCCGAGGCUCGCUCCGAGGGCAUGCCUGCCUGAGCGUCCGGUCCGACCCACCCACAAGUCUCUCCUCCUCCUCCUCUAACCGAGGAGGAGGAUCCAGGAGAGACCAGAGUGUGCGUGUGGAAUUGGUCGUCCGGGAACCCGAUCUUCUCCCUUGCGGAGAUGGUCGAAGGAUUCGCGGUUGGCUGAAAAAUGGGAGCCGUCCGUCAAGCGCGCGCAGUGGGCAAGGGUGCGUCGCGAGAAGGUGCCGUCCUCCCUCGUCGUCGAGACGGGAGUCGGACGUUUGUAACAAAAGCGAUGCGCCUCCCCUGCGGAGUUCGAACUUGGGGGACUGGCGGAAUACAAAACAUGGGAACGGGAAGGCUCGGAGACGUCUUGACAGCGCCUCCCUUGCCUAAUCGGCGAGGGGGGCGUGUUGGGAGAUGCCUGCCGGCCCGAACGUGAUGUUGUUCGGACCUCAGAUCAGACAAGACCACCCGCUGAGUUUAAGCAUAUCACUAAGCGGAGGAGAAGAAACUAACAAGG
This 1185-nucleotide ribosomal RNA is filed under the name Cheilolejeunea asperrima. RNAcentral's name for it is "eukaryotic LSU rRNA". The stretch from base 549 to 702 matches the Rfam family "5.8S ribosomal RNA". Lineage: Eukaryota; Viridiplantae; Streptophyta; Jungermanniopsida; Porellales; Lejeuneaceae. The record is from RNAcentral.